This 509-nucleotide ribosomal RNA is filed under the name uncultured bacterium. RNAcentral describes it as "bacterial SSU rRNA". It matches the Rfam family "Bacterial small subunit ribosomal RNA", at positions 30 to 518 of the family's 1533-position model. The record is from RNAcentral.
CGAACGCUGGCGGCGUGCUUAACACAUGCAAGUCGAACGCGAAAGGGGACUUCGGUCCUGAGUAAAGUGGCGCACGGGUGAGUAACGCGUAGAUAACCUGUCUUCAUGUCUGGAAUAAUACGCCAAAGGGGGUACUAAUACCGGAUAUUCUUGCUUUUCAUAAGUUAUGCAAGCAAAGGUGGCCUCUGCAUAUGCUACUGCAUGAAGAGGGGUCUGCGUACCAUUAGCUAGUAGGUGGGGUAAUGGCCUACCUAGGCGACGAUGGUUAGCGGGUCUGAGAGGAUGAUCCGCCACACUGGCACUGGAACACGGGCCAGACUCCUACGGGAGGCAGCAGUGAGGAAUAUUGCGCAAUGGGGGAAACCCUGACGCAGCGACGCCGCGUGAGUGAGGAAGGCCUUCGGGUCGUAAAGCUCUGUCAAGAGGAAAGAAGUGUACAAUGGCUAAUACCUGUUGUAUUUGACGGUACCUCUAAAGGAAGCACCGGCUAACUCCGUGCCAGCCGCCGC